AAUCAACGCUGGCGGCGUGCCUCAGACAUGCAAGUCGAACGAUUAAACUCUUCUUCGGAGGAGAUAUAAAGUGGCGCACGGGUGAGUAACACGUAGGUAAUCUACCUUUGAGUGGGGAAUAACGUUCGGAAACGAACGCUAAUACCGCAUAAUGCAGCGGCACCGCAAGGUGACAGUUGUUAAAGGAGCAAUCCGCUUAAAGAGGAGCCUGCGGCAGAUUAGCUAGUUGGUAAGGUAAUGGCUUACCAAGGCUACGAUCUGUAACCGACCUGAGAGGGUGGUCGGUCACACUGACACUGAAUAACGGGUCAGACUCCUACGGGAGGCAGCAGUCGGGAAUUUUGGGCAAUGGGCGAAAGCCUGGCCCAGCAACGCCGCGUGAAGGAUGAAGUAUUUCGGUAUGUAAACUUCGAAAGAAUGGGAAGAAUAAAUGACGGUACCAUUUAUAAGGUCCGGCUAACUGCGUGCCAGCAGCCGCGGUAAUACGUAGGGACCAAGCGUUGUUCGGAUUUACUGGGCGUAAAGGGCGCGUAGGCGGCGUGUUAAGUCAGCUGUGAAAUCUCCGAGCUUAACUCGGAACGGUCAGCUGAUACUGAUGUGCUAGAGUGCAGAAGGGGCAAUCGGAAUUCUUGGUGUAGCGGUGAAAUGCGUAGAUAUCAAGAGGAACACCUGA
This 673-nucleotide ribosomal RNA is filed under the name uncultured bacterium. Its description in RNAcentral is "bacterial SSU rRNA". It matches the Rfam family "Bacterial small subunit ribosomal RNA", at positions 28 to 713 of the family's 1533-position model. The record is from RNAcentral.